GGUCAUUAAGAAAUCUUUUGUAGCUCUUUCCCUCCUGCCACCGAUAGCGCGGAGGCAGAGGCUUAGGUGAGGUCAAAAUUCAACUUCACCCGUAACCCACUGCCAUGGCCGAGGGAGGCAUCGCUGCUGGAGGUGUAAUGGGCAUUAACACGGCUUUACAAGAGGUGCUGAAGACCGCCCUCAUCCAUGAUGGCCUUGCAUGUGGAAUCCACGAAGCUGCCAAAGCCUUAGACAAGUGCCAAGCCCAUCUUUGUGUGCUUUGCAUCCAACUGUGAUGAGCCUAUGUAAGUCAAGUUGGUGGAGGCCCUUUGUGCUGAACACCAAAUCAACCUAAUUAAGGUUGAUGACAACAAGAAACUAGAGGAAUGGGUAGGCCUUUGUAAAAUUGACAGAGAGGGGAAACCCCGUAAAGUGGUUGGCUGCAGUUGUGUAGUAGGCAAGGAUUAUGGCAAAGAAUCUCUGGCCAAGGAUGUCAUUGAAGUGUACUUCGAAUGCAAGAAAUGAACAAAAAAAACUUUGGUUCA
RNA transcript from Otolemur garnettii (small-eared galago), 524 nucleotides. It is a transcript of the gene named 40S ribosomal protein S12 pseudogene, with no coding region annotated. Lineage: Eukaryota; Metazoa; Chordata; Mammalia; Primates; Galagidae. The record is from RefSeq and is a predicted model, not a curated record. The transcript has a single exon.